This 465-nucleotide ribosomal RNA is filed under the name Vreelandella stevensii. RNAcentral's name for it is "partial 16S ribosomal RNA". It matches the Rfam family "Bacterial small subunit ribosomal RNA", at positions 338 to 795 of the family's 1533-position model. The record is from RNAcentral. Lineage: Bacteria; Pseudomonadati; Pseudomonadota; Gammaproteobacteria; Oceanospirillales; Halomonadaceae.
CCUACGGGAGGCAGCAGUGGGGAAUAUUGGACAAUGGGCGAAAGCCUGAUCCAGCCAUGCCGCGUGUGUGAAGAAGGCCUUCGGGUUGUAAAGCACUUUCAGUGGGGAAGAAAGCCUUGGGGCUAAUACCCUCGAGGAAGGACAUCACCCACAGAAGAAGCACCGGCUAACUCUGUGCCAGCAGCCGCGGUAAUACGGAGGGUGCGAGCGUUAAUCGGAAUUACUGGGCGUAAAGCGCGCGUAGGCGGUCUGAUAAGCCGGUUGUGAAAGCCCCGGGCUCAACCUGGGAACGGCAUCCGGAACUGUCAGGCUAGAGUGCAGGAGAGGAAGGUAGAAUUCCCGGUGUAGCGGUGAAAUGCGUAGAGAUCGGGAGGAAUACCAGUGGCGAAGGCGGCCUUCUGGACUGACACUGACGCUGAGGUGCGAAAGCGUGGGUAGCAAACAGGAUUAGAUACCCCUGUAGUC